Molecule: ribosomal RNA, 687 nt
Filed under: Bacteroides stercoris
Lineage: Bacteria; Pseudomonadati; Bacteroidota; Bacteroidia; Bacteroidales; Bacteroidaceae
Description: bacterial SSU rRNA
Rfam family: Bacterial small subunit ribosomal RNA
Source: RNAcentral
GUCAGCGGCCAAGCGAAAGCAUUAAGUAUUCCACCUGGGGAGUACGCCGGCAACGGUGAAACUCAAAGGAAUUGACGGGGGCCCGCACAAGCGGAGGAACAUGUGGUUUAAUUCGAUGAUACGCGAGGAACCUUACCCGGGCUUAAAUUGCAACUGACUGAACCGGAAACGGUUCUUUCUUCGGACAGUUGUGAAGGUGCUGCAUGGUUGUCGUCAGCUCGUGCCGUGAGGUGUCGGCUUAAGUGCCAUAACGAGCGCAACCCUUAUCGAUAGUUACUAGCAGGUCAUGCUGAGGACUCUAUUGAGACUGCGUCGUAAGAUGUGAGGAAGGUGGGGAUGACGUCAAAUCAGCACGGCCCUUACGUCCGGGGCUACACACGUGUUACAAUGGGGGGUACAGAAGGCAGCUACACGGCGACGUGGUGCUAAUCCCUAAAGCCUCUCUCAGUUCGGAUUGGAGUCUGCAACCCGACUCCAUGAAGCUGGAUUCGCUAGUAAUCGCGCAUCAGCCACGGCGCGGUGAAUACGUUCCCGGGCCUUGUACACACCGCCCGUCAAGCCAUGAAAGCCGGGGGUACCUGAAGUACGUAACCGCGAGGAGCGUCCUAGGGUAAAACUGGUGAUUGGGGCUAAGUCGUAACAAGGUAGCCGUACCGGAAGGUGCGGCUGGAACACCUCCUUUCUGGA